This 468-nucleotide ribosomal RNA is filed under the name uncultured bacterium. RNAcentral's name for it is "partial 16S ribosomal RNA". It matches the Rfam family "Bacterial small subunit ribosomal RNA", at positions 30 to 507 of the family's 1533-position model. The record is from RNAcentral.
AGUGAACGCUGGCGGUAUGCUUAACACAUGCAAGUCGAACGGUGGCGGAGGAGCUUGUUGUGCUGACGGAGUGGCGAACGGGUGCGUAACACGUAAGCAAUCUGAUCUUGACUUUGGGAUAGGCGCUGGUAACGAAGCCUACUCCUGGACCCGAGAUGAGAUGGCAUCUUAAGCAGCUGGUCAGCGUAUCGGGCAGGGAUGAGUUCGCGGCCUAUCGACUAGUUGGUGGGGGAAUGGCUCACCCAGGCAUGGGCGGAUAGCCGGCCUGGGAGGGUGACCGGCCACACGGGGACUGAGACAGGGAGCAGAGGCCUACGUGAGGCAGCAGGGGGGAAUAUUGCACAAUGGUCGAGAGCCGGAGGCAGAAACGCCGCGUGUGGGACGACGUCUUGUGGGGUAUAAACCGCUGUUGGCAGGGAAGAAGCUGAAGUGACGGUACCUACAGAAAAAGCGCCGGCUAACUACGUG